GACGAACGCUGGCGGCGUGCUUAACACAUGCAAGUCGAACGGAAAGGCCCUGCUUUUGUGGGGUGCUCGAGUGGCGAACGGGUGAGUAACACGUGAGUAACCUGCCCUUGACUUUGGGAUAACUUCAGGAAACUGGGGCUAAUACCGGAUAGGAGCUCCUGCUGCAUGGUGGGGGUUGGAAAGUUUCGGCGGUUGGGGAUGGACUCGCGGCUUAUCAGCUUGUUGGUGGGGUAGUGGCUUACCAAGGCUUUGACGGGUAGCCGGCCUGAGAGGGUGACCGGCCACAUUGGGACUGAGAUACGGCCCAGACUCCUACGGGAGGCAGCAGUGGGGAAUAUUGCACAAUGGGCGGAAGCCUGAUGCAGCAACGCCGCGUGCGGGAUGACGGCCUUCGGGUUGUAAACCGCUUUCGCCUGUGACGAAGCGUGAGUGACGGUAAUGGGUAAAGAAGCACCGGCUAACUACGUGCCAGCAGCCGCGGUGAUACGUAGGGUGCGAGCGUUGUCCGGAUUUAUUGGGCGUAAAGGGCUCGUAGGUGGUUGAUCGCGUCGGAAGUGUAAUCUUGGGGCUUAACCCUGAGCGUGCUUUCGAUACGGGUUGACUUGAGGAAGGUAGGGGAGAAUGGAAUUCCUGGUGGAGCGGUGGAAUGCGCAGAUAUCAGGAGGAACACCAGUGGCGAAGGCGGUUCUCUGGGCCUUUCCUGACGCUGAGGAGCGAAAGCGUGGGGAGCGAACAGGCUUAGAUACCCUGGUAGUCCACGCUGUAAACGGUGGGUACUAGGUGUGGGGUCCAUUCCACGGGUUCCGUGCCGUAGCUAACGCUUUAAGUACCCCGCCUGGGGAGUACGGCCGCAAGGCUAAAACUCAAAGGAAUUGACGGGGCCCCGCACAAGCGGCGGAGCAUGCGGAUUAAUUCGAUGCAACGCGUAGAACCUUACCUGGGUUUGACAUGGAUCGGGAGCGCUCAGAGAUGGGUGUGCCUCUUUUGGGGUCGGUUCACAGGUGGUGCAUGGCUGUCGUCAGCUCGUGUCGUGAGAUGUUGGGUUAAGUCCCGCAACGAGCGCAACCCUUGUUCACUGUUGCCAGCACGUUAUGGUGGGGACUCAGUGGAGACCGCCGGGGUCAACUCGGAGGAAGGUGGGGAUGACGUCAAGUCAUCAUGCCCCUUAUGUCCAGGGCUUCACGCAUGCUACAAUGGCUGGUACAGAGAGUGGCGAGCCUGUGAGGGUGAGCGAAUCUCGGAAAGCCGGUCCCAGUUCGGAUUGGGGUCUGCAACUCGACCUCAUGAAGUCGGAGUCGCUAGUAAUCGCAGAUCAGCAACGCUGCGAUGAAUACGUUCCCGGGGCU
This 1346-nucleotide ribosomal RNA is filed under the name uncultured bacterium. RNAcentral's name for it is "bacterial SSU rRNA". It matches the Rfam family "Bacterial small subunit ribosomal RNA", at positions 28 to 1381 of the family's 1533-position model. The record is from RNAcentral.